GAACCCUUCAAUGAGAGCAUUCGCCCAGACCGCAGUCACUGCCAGGAAGGAGGCAGCCUGGCCUCAGAGGAGCAGAAAGCCAGUAAAUGUAAACCCUGUGUCAUGAGGUGGGACCUCCGGAUGCUGUCCCCUGCUUCCUGAAGUUGAGGACUGACUGUGCACCACAGGCAGAGGGAGACUAAAUGCAGGUCCCAGUGAUGCGGAUUUCUCUGACAUUUUAUUUAAAUGUGAGUUGAGCAAAUAAUGUAAGAGAGCAACUACAGCGA
This 266-nucleotide long non-coding RNA is filed under the name Mus pahari (shrew mouse). RNAcentral describes it as "lncRNA (MGP_PahariEiJ_G0002345.1)". Lineage: Eukaryota; Metazoa; Chordata; Mammalia; Rodentia; Muridae. The record is from RNAcentral.